RNAcentral lists this ribosomal RNA (346 nucleotides) under uncultured eukaryote. RNAcentral's name for it is "SSU rRNA". It matches the Rfam family "Eukaryotic small subunit ribosomal RNA", at positions 594 to 945 of the family's 1831-position model. The record is from RNAcentral.
AUAGCGUAUAUUAAAGUUGUUGCAGUUAAAAAGCUCGUAGUUGAACUUCAGGCCCGGCGGGGUGGUCUGCCUCACGGUAUGUACUAUCCUGCUGGGCCUUACCUCUUGGUGAGCCCGUAUGCCGUUUACUCGGUGUGCGGAGGAACCAGGAAUUUUACUUUGAAAAAAUUAGAGUGUUCAAAGCAGGCAUAUGCCCGAAUACAUUAGCAUGGAAUAAUAGAAUAGGACGUGUGGUUCUAUUUUGUUGGUUUCUAGGAUCGCCGUAAUGAUUAAUAGGGAUAGUUGGGGGCAUUAGUAUUCAAUUGUCAGAGGUGAAAUUCUUGGAUUUAUUGAGGACUAACUACUG